Molecule: long non-coding RNA, 574 nt
Organism: Oncorhynchus keta (chum salmon)
Lineage: Eukaryota; Metazoa; Chordata; Actinopteri; Salmoniformes; Salmonidae
Exons: 4
Source: RefSeq, a predicted model, not a curated record
CCUGUAAACACACAGUCCAGUUCAUAGUGAAUGAUGGCAGGUCCUACUGCCUGUAAACACACAGUCCAGUUCAUAGUGAAUGAUGGCAGGUCCUACUGCCUGUAAACACACAGUCCAGUUCAUAGUGAAUGAUGGCAGGUCCUACUGCCUGUAAACACACAGUCCAGUUCAUAGUGAAUGAUGACAGGUCCUACUGCCUGUAAACACACAGUCCAGUUCAUAGUGAAUGAUGGCAGGUCCUACUGCCUGUAAACACACAGUCCAGUUCAUAGUGAAUGAUGGCAGGUCCUACUGCCUGUAAACACACAGUCCAGUUCAUAGUGAAUGAUGACAGGUCCUACUGCCUGUAAACACACAGUCCAGUUCAUAGUGAAUGAUGACAGGUCCUACUGCCUGUAAACACAGUCCAGUUCAUAGUGAAUGAUGGCAGGUCCUACUGCCUGUAAACACACAGUCCAGUUCAUAGUGAAUGAUGGCAGGUCCUACUGCCUGUAAACACACAGUCCAGUUCAUAGUGAAUGAUGACAGGUCCUACUGCCUGUAAACACACAGUCCAGUUCAUAGUGAAUGAUGA